GAUGAAGAACGUAGCGAAAUGCGAUACUUGGUGUGAAUUGCAGAAUCCCGUGAACCAUCGAGUCUUUGAACGCAAGUUGCGCCCGAAGCCAUCAGGUUGAGGGCACGUCUGCCUGGGCGUCACAUAUCGUUGCCCAAUGCCUAUUGCAGUGCAAUAGGAAUUUCUAGGGCGAAUGAUGGCUUCCCGUGAGCGUUGUUGCCUCGCGGUUGGUUGAAAAUCGAGUCCUUGGUAGGGUGUGCCAUGGUAGAUGGUGGUCGAGUUAGAACGAUACCGAUCAUGUGCAUGCUCCCCAAAAUAUGGCCUCUAUGACCCACACGCGUCUUUUGACGCUCAUGACGAGACCUCAGGUCAGGCGGGGCUACCAGCUGAAUUUAAGCAUAUCAAUAAGCGGAGGA
This 395-nucleotide unclassified non-coding RNA is filed under the name soil metagenome. RNAcentral describes it as "partial contains 5.8S ribosomal RNA, internal transcribed spacer 2, and large subunit ribosomal RNA". The stretch from base 1 to 122 matches the Rfam family "5.8S ribosomal RNA", at positions 35 to 154 of the family's 154-position model. The record is from RNAcentral.